CCAGAGUUCAGUAGUUUUAGAGUACGUAGAGCAUAUUGGCGUUUUAUGGAUUUUAGCUCUGAAGUUUUAUCGAGAUCUGACAUUAUGUUCUUGAGUGUUUUUAUCGUUGGCACGGUCAUGCUGGUCCUGCUCUUACUUUUUGUACAAGGUUUACUCUGGUGCUGCGAAAGACUGCUGCUGAUGGGGCUACCUCCUACUUCAACUAACCGAACUCCGUAGGGAACCACGCCAGUGACGAUGUGCUUUUCCGUUACAGAACUACAGUUUCAGGAACUUUGUAGCUGGUCAUGGUGAUGUCUUUGUUUCGGUUUCGUGAACGGAACCGAUUGGGAUUUCGAAAUUUGGGUUCUAUGUGAUUUUAAAACAAGGUUAAUCGUAAAGACUUGAUUUGACUGCUCUGCGUUUUUAAGCCUUUUAAUGUUCUCGGUUUUAA
This is a long non-coding RNA of Macrobrachium nipponense, 433 nucleotides long. RefSeq lists it as uncharacterized. The record is from RefSeq and is a predicted model, not a curated record. The transcript has 2 exons. NCBI's taxonomy places the organism in Eukaryota, Metazoa, Arthropoda, Malacostraca, Decapoda, Palaemonidae.